AGCAGCCGCGGUAAUUCCAGCUCCAAUAGCGUAUAUUAAAGUUGUUGCAGUUAAAAAGCUCGUAGUUGAAUUUCGGGGUUCUACCGUUGGUCGGGCAAUAGUCUGUACUGGCGUGUAGAAUUUCUACCUUCUGGGGAACCAUCAUGUUAUUUAUUUAGCGUGGUGGGAAACCAGGACCCUUACCUUGAAAAAAUUAGAGUGUUCAAAGCAGGCUUACGUCUGAAUACAUUAGCAUGGAAUAAUAAAAUAGGACGGUGGUCCUGUUUUGUUGGUUUCUGAAUCACCGUAAUGAUUAAUAGGGAUAGUUGGGGGCAUUAGUAUUCAAUUGUCAGAGGUGAAAUUCUUGGAUUUAUUGAAGACUAACUUCUGCGAAAGCAUUUGUCAAGGAUGUUUUCAUUAAUCAAGAACGAAAGUUAGGGGAUCGAAGACGAUCAGAUACCGUCGUAGUCUUAACCAUAAACUAUGCCGACUAGGGAUCGGACGAUGUUAAUUUUUCUUGACUCGUUCGGCGCCUUACGGG
Molecule: ribosomal RNA, 520 nt
Filed under: uncultured Gigaspora
Lineage: Eukaryota; Fungi; Glomeromycota; Glomeromycetes; Diversisporales; Gigasporaceae
Description: SSU rRNA
Rfam family: Eukaryotic small subunit ribosomal RNA
Source: RNAcentral